This is a small nucleolar RNA of Humulus lupulus (European hop), 103 nucleotides long. The record is from RefSeq and is a predicted model, not a curated record. NCBI's taxonomy places the organism in Eukaryota, Viridiplantae, Streptophyta, Magnoliopsida, Rosales, Cannabaceae.
AUGCUGUGAUGAGGACACUUUCUCAAAAAUUCUUUAAACCUCUCUCAUGCAUCAUACAUGAUUCCCCAUAAGGAGGAAGUUAUUGAUCUUUCCUUUCAACCUU